GAUGAACGCUGGCGGCGUGCCUAAUACAUGCAAGUCGAGCGAACAGACGAGGAGCUUGCUCCUCUGACGUUAGCGGCUGACGUGUGAGUAACACGUGGAUAACCUACCUAUAAGACUGGGAUAACUUCGGGAAACCGGAGCUAAUACCGGAUAAUAUAUUGAACCGCAUGGUUCAAUAGUGAAAGAUGGUUUUGCUGUCACUUAUAGAUGGAUCCUCGCCGCAUUAUCUAGUUGGUAAGGUAACGGCUUACCAAGGCAACGAUGCGUAGCCGACCUGAGAGGGUGAUCGGCCACACUGGAACUGAGACACGGUCCAGACUCCUACGGGAGGCAGCAGUAGGGAAUCUUCAGCAAUGGGCGAAAGCCUGACGGAGCAACGCGGCGUGAGUGAUGAAGGUCUGCGGAUCGUAAAACUCUGUUAUUAGGGAAGAACAAAUGUGUAAGUAACUAUGCACGUCUUGACGGUACCUAAUCAGAAAGCCACGGCUAACUACGU
Molecule: ribosomal RNA, 496 nt
Filed under: uncultured bacterium
Lineage: Bacteria
Description: partial 16S ribosomal RNA
Rfam family: Bacterial small subunit ribosomal RNA
Source: RNAcentral